UAAAUGUACAAUAACAAAAUUUGAAAAGUUACAAAUAAUGGUUUGGGGGGCAGAGACCAGAGAUCUCAGGGCUUGAAUCCAGUUGCUGCUCCACUUGCUGUGGGGCCCAGUGUUUCCAGUGGGGAGGUGGGAGGGUGGGGCUCAAAUAUGGAGGCAAGUGGGAGCCAAGGCACCUCAGACAGUGCCAACAACUCCCAGCAUGACUCUGGUAAAAUGUUUAUGGGUGGACUGAGCUGGCAGACCUCACCAGAAGGGUCAGAGACUAUUUUAGCAAUUUUGGAGAAAUUAGAGAAUGUCUGGUCAUGAGAGACCCCACUACGAGAUGCUCCAGAGGCUUUGGUUUUGACAAGUUUGCAGACCCAACAAGUAUAGAUAAAGGGCUAGGUCAGCCACACCAUGAGCUAUGUUUCAAGAUGAUUGACUCCAAGGUUGCAUUUCUUCUUCCAGCACAAUCCAAGAUGUUCACAAAAACAAAUAUUUGUAGGUGGAUUAUCUCGUAACACAUUAGUGGAAGAUGUAAAACAAUAUUUUGAGCAGUUUGGCAAAGUGGAAGAUAUUUGAUAAAACCACUAAUAGGCACAGAGGGUUUGGUUUCAUCACCUUUGAGAAUGAAGAUGUUGUGGAGAAAGUCUGAGAUUGUUUUCAGGAAAUCAAUAAUUUAAUAAAUUAUUGAUUCCUUGAAAUUAAUAAUUUUUAAAAAAGGUAGAACAGGGACUGGGGAUGUGGCUCAAGCGGUAGCACGCUCACCUGGCAUGCGUGCGGCCCGGGUUU
RNAcentral lists this long non-coding RNA (771 nucleotides) under Marmota monax (woodchuck). Lineage: Eukaryota; Metazoa; Chordata; Mammalia; Rodentia; Sciuridae. The record is from RNAcentral.